Long non-coding RNA from Malaya genurostris, 436 nucleotides. RefSeq lists it as uncharacterized. The record is from RefSeq and is a predicted model, not a curated record. NCBI's taxonomy places the organism in Eukaryota, Metazoa, Arthropoda, Insecta, Diptera, Culicidae. The transcript has 2 exons.
CAUGUGAAUCAGCCGGAUCUGUUUAUUCAGCUUGGGUUGAUUUUUCGGAAGCACUGUAUUUAAGAGACACUAGUUGAAGAAACGCGAAAAUAAUUUUGCAGUCAGUUUAUAAUUACGUUUCAGAUCUGCUAGAGACUCUCUCGGAAAUGUCAUCCAUAACUCAAACUCUCUCACGGUUGACAUCCCAACCAGCAUCGAAUAUAGUGCCAAAACUGGUUCCCAAUCCGGAGUCACCAAAACUGGUCAAUUGCACGAUUGGACUACCGUUGGAAAUUCGAGAAAAAAUGAUGGCAGCUUCGGCGAAAAACGUCGACGACAGUGACGAAUUGCGUUUUGCCAAACAAAAGCCCCAAUCUUAAUCGUGAAGUUUUUCUAUUCAUUUAAAAAAUCAGUUAUACAACUUAUUUAAAUAUAAUUUGAAACGUCUUUAUUAAAA